Molecule: ribosomal RNA, 427 nt
Filed under: uncultured bacterium
Lineage: Bacteria
Description: bacterial SSU rRNA
Rfam family: Bacterial small subunit ribosomal RNA
Source: RNAcentral
UGGGGAAUAUUGGACAAUGGGCGCAAGCCUGAUCCAGCCAUGCCGCGUGGGUGAAGAAGGCCUUCGGGUUGUAAAGCCCUUUUGUCCGGAAAGAAAUCCUGUCGGUUAAUACCCGGCGGGGAUGACGGUACCGGAAGAAUAAGCACCGGCUAACUUCGUGCCAGCAGCCGCGGUAAUACGAAGGGUGCAAGCGUUACUCGGAAUUACUGGGCGUAAAGCGUGCGUAGGCGGUUCGUUAAGUCCGAUGUGAAAGCCCUGGGCUCAACCUGGGAACUGCAUUGGAUACUGGCGAGCUAGAGUGCGGUAGUGGAUGGUGGAAUUCCCGGUGUAGCGGUGAAAUGCGUAGAGAUCGGGAGGAACACCAGUGGCGAAGGCGGCCAUCUGGACCAGCACUGACGCUGAGGCACGAAAGCGUGGGGAGCAAACA